UUUAAAGCGUUGAAAGGGAGAGUAGCCUGACCCGGUCGUGUAAGAGAUGAAAUGCCAAGGCUGUAAGCAUUUCUCACGAGCGUACAGGGGAAAACCACCCUGGAGUGUUGGGCUGAAAUAAGUAAGCUCAACCGUACCCCGCGUUAAGGGAGAUCGAGUGAAAGGGCAUUCUUAUAACCUUUCAAUUGGGUGGAACCACGGGAGUAAACUCUCGUCCCUAGU
This 222-nucleotide non-coding RNA is filed under the name Desulfosporosinus sp. Its description in RNAcentral is "T-box sequence". It matches the Rfam family "T-box leader". Rfam says of the family: Uncharged tRNA acts as the effector for transcription antitermination of genes in the T-box leader family. T-boxes are found upstream of many aminoacyl-tRNA synthetase genes and some amino acid biosynthetic genes usually in Gram-positive bacteria. The record is from RNAcentral. Lineage: Bacteria; Bacillati; Bacillota; Clostridia; Eubacteriales; Desulfitobacteriaceae.